AGUCGAACGGAUUUUUAUCAUAGCUUGCUAUGAUAAAAAUUAGUGGCAGACGGGUGAGUAAUGCAUAGGAAUCUACCUAGUAGUAUGGGAUAGCCACUAGAAAUGGUGGGUAAUACUGUAUAAUCCCUGCGGGGGAAAGAUUUAUCGCUAUUAGAUGAGCCUAUGUUAGAUUAGCUAGUUGGUAGGGUAAAGGCCUACCAAGGCAGUGAUCUAUAGCUGGUCUGAGAGGAUGAUCAGCCACACUGGAACUGAGAUACGGUCCAGACUCCUACGGGAGGCAGCAGUGGGGAAUAUUGGACAAUGGGCGCAAGCCUGAUCCAGCUAUGCCGCGUGAGUGAGGAAGGCCUUAGGGUUGUAAAACUCUUUCAGUGG
Molecule: ribosomal RNA, 372 nt
Filed under: Anaplasma platys
Lineage: Bacteria; Pseudomonadati; Pseudomonadota; Alphaproteobacteria; Rickettsiales; Anaplasmataceae
Description: bacterial SSU rRNA
Rfam family: Bacterial small subunit ribosomal RNA
Source: RNAcentral